AACGAACGUUGGCGUAGGCUUAACACAUGCAAGUCGAACGAGAAAUCACCUUCGGGUGGUGGACAGUGGCGAACGGGUGAGUAAUACUUGGGAAUCUACCCUGAAGUGGGGGAUAACAGUUGGAAACGACUGCUAAUACCGCAUAAUCCAUAUUGGGAAAGCUUUAGUGCUUUAGGAUGAGCCCAAGCCUGAUUAGCUUGUUGGUGCGGUAACGGCGCACCAAGGCGACGAUCAGUAGCUGGUUUGAGAGGAUGAUCAGCCACACUGGGACUGAGACACGGCCCAGACUCCUACGGGAGGCAGCAGUGGGGAAUAUUGCGCAAUGGGCGAAAGCCUGACGCAGCCAUACCGCGUGUACGAUGAAGGCCUUAGGGUUGUAAAGUACUUUUACCAGUCAUAAUAGUGAUAGUAGCUGGAGAAAAAGUCCCGGCUAAUUCAGUG
RNAcentral lists this ribosomal RNA (441 nucleotides) under uncultured bacterium. RNAcentral's name for it is "bacterial SSU rRNA". It matches the Rfam family "Bacterial small subunit ribosomal RNA", at positions 29 to 507 of the family's 1533-position model. The record is from RNAcentral.